CAAAAUGUAGUUUAAAAAAAAUUCUAAUUUUGGGAAUUAGUGAUGCUGUUAUUAGUUAUUUUGA
RNAcentral lists this transfer RNA (64 nucleotides) under Ectenagena laubieri. RNAcentral's name for it is "Calyptogena laubieri tRNA-Pro". The record is from RNAcentral. Lineage: Eukaryota; Metazoa; Mollusca; Bivalvia; Venerida; Vesicomyidae.